This 497-nucleotide ribosomal RNA is filed under the name uncultured bacterium. Its description in RNAcentral is "partial 16S ribosomal RNA". It matches the Rfam family "Bacterial small subunit ribosomal RNA", at positions 28 to 507 of the family's 1533-position model. The record is from RNAcentral.
GAUGAACGCUGGCGGCGUGCCUAAUACAUGCAAGUCGAGCGAACAGAUGAGGAGCUUGCUCCUCUGACGUUAGCGGCGGACGGGUGAGUAACACGUGGAUAACCUACCUAUAAGACUGGGAUCACUUCGGGAAACCGGAGCUAAUACCGGAUAAUAUAUUGAACCGCAUGGUUCAAUAGUGAAAGACGGUUUUGCUGUCACUUCUAGAUGGAUCCGCGCCGCAUUAGCUAGUUGGUAAGGUAACGGCUUACCAAGGCAACGAUGCGUAGCCGAGCUGAGAGGGUGAUCGGCCACACGGGAACUGAGACACGGUCCAGACGCCUACGGGAGGCAGCAGUAGGGAAUCUUCCGCAAUGGGCGAAAGCCUGACGGAGCAACGCCGCGUGAGUGAUGAAGGUCUUCGGAUCGUAAAACUCUGUUAUUAGGGAAGAACAAAUGUGUAAGUAACUAUGCACGUCUUGACGGUACCUAAUCAGAAAGCCACGGCUAACUACGUG